Molecule: non-coding RNA, 44 nt
Organism: Schistosoma haematobium
Lineage: Eukaryota; Metazoa; Platyhelminthes; Trematoda; Strigeidida; Schistosomatidae
Source: Rfam
UUCAGCUGACGAGUCCCAAAUAGGACGAACUGCGAGUCCUGGAA